Molecule: ribosomal RNA, 468 nt
Filed under: uncultured bacterium
Lineage: Bacteria
Description: partial 16S ribosomal RNA
Rfam family: Bacterial small subunit ribosomal RNA
Source: RNAcentral
GACGAACGCUGGCGGCGUGCUUAACACAUGCAAGUCGAACGGCAAGGCCCUGCUUUUGUGGGGUGCUCGAGUGGCGAACGGGUGAGUAACACGUGAGUAACCUGCCCUUGACUUUGGGAUAACUUCAGGAAACUGGGGCUAAUACCGGAUAGGAGCUCCUGCUGCAUGGUGGGGGUUGGAAAGUUUCGGCGGUUGGGGAUGGACUCGCGGCUUAUCAGCUUGUUGGUGGGGUAGUGGCUUACCAAGGCUUUGACGGGUAGCCGGCCUGAGAGGGUGACCGGCCACAUUGGGACUGAGAUACGGCGCAGACUCCUACGGGAGGCAGCAGUGGGGAAUAUUGCACAAUGGGCGGAAGCCUGAUGCAGCAACGCCGCGUGCGGGAUGACGGCCUUCGGGUUGUAAACCGCUGUCGCCUGUGACGAAGCGUGAGUGACGGUAAUGGGUAAAGAAGCACCGGCUAACUACGUG